UACGUAGGCAGCGAGCGUUGUUCGGAGUUACUGGGCGUAAAGGGUGUGUAGGCGGUUCUUCAAGUCUCUCGUGAAAUCCCUCGGCUUAACCGGGGAACUGCGUCCGAUACUGGAUGGCUUGAGUUCGGGAGAGGGAUGCGGAAUUCCAGGUGUAGCGGUGAAAUGCGUAGAUAUCAGGAGGAACACCGGUGGCGAAGGCAGGUCUCUGGGCAUUAACUGACGCUGAGGAGCGAAAGCAUGGGGAGCGAACAGG
Molecule: ribosomal RNA, 253 nt
Filed under: uncultured bacterium
Lineage: Bacteria
Description: partial 16S ribosomal RNA
Rfam family: Bacterial small subunit ribosomal RNA
Source: RNAcentral